This 1438-nucleotide ribosomal RNA is filed under the name uncultured organism. RNAcentral describes it as "16S ribosomal RNA". It matches the Rfam family "Bacterial small subunit ribosomal RNA". The record is from RNAcentral.
CAGGCUUAACACAUGCAAGUCGAGGGGCAGCAUGGUCUUAGCUUGCUAAGGCCGAUGGCGACCGGCGCACGGGUGAGUAACACGUAUCCAACCUGCCGUCUACUCUUGGACAGCCUUCUGAAAGGAAGAUUAAUACAAGAUGGCAUCAUGAGUCCGCAUGUUCACAUGAUUAAAGGUAUUCCGGUAGACGAUGGGGAUGCGUUCCAUUAGAUAGUAGGCGGGGUAACGGCCCACCUAGUCUUCGAUGGAUAGGGGUUCUGAGAGGAAGGUCCCCCACAUUGGAACUGAGACACGGUCCAAACUCCUACGGGAGGCAGCAGUGAGGAAUAUUGGUCAAUGGGCGAGAGCCUGAACCAGCCAAGUAGCGUGAAGGAUGACUGCCCUAUGGGUUGUAAACUUCUUUUAUAAAGGAAUAAAGUCGGGUAUGGAUACCCGUUUGCAUGUACUUUAUGAAUAAGGAUCGGCUAACUCCGUGCCAGCAGCCGCGGUAAUACGGAGGAUCCGAGCGUUAUCCGGAUUUAUUGGGUUUAAAGGGAGCGUAGAUGGAUGUUUAAGUCAGUUGUGAAAGUUUGCGGCUCAACCGUAAAAUUGCAGUUGAUACUGGAUAUCUUGAGUGCAGUUGAGGCAGGCGGAAUUCGUGGUGUAGCGGUGAAAUGCUUAGAUAUCACGAAGAACUCCGAUUGCGAAGGCAGCCUGCUAAGCUGCAACUGACAUUGAGGCUCGAAAGUGUGGGUAUCAAACAGGAUUAGAUACCCUGGUAGUCCACACGGUAAACGAUGAAUACUCGCUGUUUGCGAUAUACUGCAAGCGGCCAAGCGAAAGCGUUAAGUAUUCCACCUGGGGAGUACGCCGGCAACGGUGAAACUCAAAGGAAUUGACGGGGCCCGCACAAGCGGAGGAACAUGUGGUUUAAUUCGAUGAUACGCGAGGAACCUUACCCGGGCUUAAAUUGCAGAUGAAUUACGGUGAAAGCCGUAAGCCGCAAGGCAUCUGUGAAGGUGCUGCAUGGUUGUCGUCAGCUCGUGCCGUGAGGUGUCGGCUUAAGUGCCAUAACGAGCGCAACCCUUGUUGUCAGUUACUAACAGGUUCCGCUGAGGACUCUGACAAGACUGCCAUCGUAAGAUGUGAGGAAGGUGGGGAUGACGUCAAAUCAGCACGGCCCUUACGUCCGGGGCUACACACGUGUUACAAUGGGGGGUACAGAGGGCCGCUACCACGCGAGUGGAUGCCAAUCCCCAAAACCUCUCUCAGUUCGGACUGGAGUCUGCAACCCGACUCCACGAAGCUGGACUCGCUAGUAAUCGCGCAUCAGCCACGGCGCGGUGAAUACGUUCCCGGGCCUUGUACACACCGCCCGUCAAGCCAUGGGAGCCGGGGGUACCUGAAGUGCGUAACCACGAGGAGCGCCCUAGGGUAAAACUGGUGACUGGGGCUAAGU